GACGAACCGUGCGAACGUUGUUCGGAAUCACUGGGCUUAAAGGGCGCGUAGGCGGGCCGAAAAGUCAGGGGUGAAAUCCUCCAGCUUAACUGGAGAACUGCCUUUGAUACUGGCGGUCUGGAGUAAGGUAGGGGCAUGCGGAACUGAUGGUGGAGCGGUGAAAUGCGUAGAGAUCGGAAAGAACACCAACGGCGAAAGCACUCUGCUGGGCCGACACUGACACGGAGAGACGAAAGCUAGGGGAGCGAAUGGG
RNAcentral lists this ribosomal RNA (253 nucleotides) under uncultured bacterium. RNAcentral's name for it is "partial 16S ribosomal RNA". It matches the Rfam family "Bacterial small subunit ribosomal RNA", at positions 524 to 776 of the family's 1533-position model. The record is from RNAcentral.